RNAcentral lists this ribosomal RNA (556 nucleotides) under uncultured Thermococcus sp. Its description in RNAcentral is "bacterial SSU rRNA". It matches the Rfam family "Archaeal small subunit ribosomal RNA", at positions 312 to 869 of the family's 1478-position model. The record is from RNAcentral. Lineage: Archaea; Methanobacteriati; Methanobacteriota; Thermococci; Thermococcales; Thermococcaceae.
GGGUCCAGGCCCUACGGGGCGCAGCAGGCGCGAAACCUCCGCAAUGCGGGAAACCGCGACGGGGGGACCCCGAGUGCCGUGGCACCGCCACGGCUUUUCCGGAGUGUAAAAAGCUCCGGGAAUAAGGGCUGGGCAAGGCCGGUGGCAGCCGCCGCGGUAAUACCGGCGGCCCGAGUGGUGGCCGCUAUUAUUGGGCCUAAAGCGUCCGUAGCCGGGCCCGUAAGUCCCUGGCGAAAUCCCACGGCUCAACCGUGGGGCUUGCUGGGGAUACUGCGGGCCUUGGGACCGGGAGAGGCGGGGGGUACCCCUGGGGUAGGGGUGAAAUCCUAUAAUCCCAGGGGGACCGCCAGUGGCGAAGGCGCCCCGCUGGAACGGGUCCGACGGUGAGGGACGAAAGCCAGGGGAGCAAACCGGAUUAGAUACCCGGGUAGUCCUGGCUGUAAAGGAUGCGGGCUAGGUGUCGGGUGAGCUUUGAGCUCGCCCGGUGCCGUAGGGAAGCCGUUAAGCCCGCCGCCUGGGGAGUACGGCCGCAAGGCUGAAACUUAAAGGAAUUGGC